Molecule: ribosomal RNA, 439 nt
Filed under: uncultured bacterium
Lineage: Bacteria
Description: bacterial SSU rRNA
Rfam family: Bacterial small subunit ribosomal RNA
Source: RNAcentral
UCCUACGGGAGGCAGCAGUGGGGAAUAUUGGACAAUGGGCGCAAGCCUGAUCCAGCCAUGCCGCGUGAGUGAUGAAGGCCUUAGGGUUGUAAAGCUCUUUCACCCACGACGAUGAUGACGGUAGUGGGAGAAGAAGCCCCGGCUAACUUCGUGCCAGCAGCCGCGGUAAUACGAAGGGGGCUAGCGUUGUUCGGAAUUACUGGGCGUAAAGCGCACGCAGGCGGUUCGGUCAGUCAGAAGUGAAAGCCCCGGGCUUAACCUGGGAACUGCUUUUGAUACUGCCGAGCUUGAAUCACGGAGAGGGUAGUGGAAUUCCGAGUGUAGAGGUGAAAUUCGUAGAUAUUCGGAAGAACACCAGUGGCGAAGGCGACUACCUGGCCGUCGAUUGACGCUCAUGUGCGAAAGCGUGGGGAGCAAACAGGAUUAGAUACCCUGGUAG